CUUGCUCCAGUUGGGGGUGUACGUUGAAGGUUGCUUCGCUCUGUCAGUAAUGAGGCUGAGUGCUUUUUCCUCUGCUCUGCGGGGUGGAAUGAGCCUGAAAGAACCGGUCAGCACCAGAUAGUCAGAUGUCCUGGAUGCUGAUGAUUCCUGAAUCUUCUGCAACAUUAGUUGAGUUGGUUCCGAAGUUAACUCAUUGCCAGAUUCUGGAACUCUCAGUUUUGCAUGGAGUGAAUAAAAUGAGAUUUAUGUGUUGAACCUGCCAUCUUCAGCUGGAAUUUAACCCUUGACUUCGUAAGUGUGGAUGCUAAACAUCCCUGCAGCUGGAAGAUGUGUGGACCUGUCUGCAACUCUC
Molecule: long non-coding RNA, 352 nt
Organism: Condylura cristata (star-nosed mole)
Lineage: Eukaryota; Metazoa; Chordata; Mammalia; Eulipotyphla; Talpidae
Exons: 3
Source: RefSeq, a predicted model, not a curated record